Long non-coding RNA from Macadamia integrifolia, 708 nucleotides. RefSeq lists it as uncharacterized. The record is from RefSeq and is a predicted model, not a curated record. Lineage: Eukaryota; Viridiplantae; Streptophyta; Magnoliopsida; Proteales; Proteaceae. The transcript has 5 exons.
AGCAUUGCAAAGAUCAAUAUUGCCGACUAUCAAAUUGGAAUACUACUUACAAUGAAUGGACCCCAUUAAAGUAAAAGCUCUUGCUUUAAUGAAGCAUGACAUGGCAGCAGAUCCCCCAACUGUCAAUUUGGAAACCCACCCAGCUCACUUCCAAGGUCCAACUGCCAACUUCUAUCCUCUGCUGCUUGCGAAUAAGAGGAACCGACAUUUAACACUUCAUUCUUGAUUAUCCGGCUCUCGUUUGGGCUCUGGAGAAAAGGGUUGUAAGGGUUCUCUACCAGACACACUGAAAUUUGAAGUACUGAAGCCGUGUAUAGGUUUGCAGUUUGUAGGGAGAUGAGAGCUCGAGCUCCUAAAUUGGCGAUUAAUUGGUUCAGCUCUUCAUGCUAUCUCUCUAGAUUUGUACAUUCACCGACUUUUGCAACAGUAGAAGUUGAAAAAAUCUCAGAAUCUCAACCUGCUGAGGUGCACAACUUGGUGCAGGGUAGCUGGACAAAAUCUUCGACAUGGGCUAAAUUUUUGGAUCCAUUAAAUGGAGAACAAUUCCUUAAAGUUUCUGAAGUGGAUGAAAAGAGCUAGAGCCUUUUGUGGAGAGCUUGUCCAAAUGUCCAAAAUCUGGUCUUCAUAAUCCAUUUAAAGCACCAGAGAGAUAUCUUAUGUAUGGAGACAUAUCUAUGAGGGCUGCACACAUGCUUGGUCAGCCUGAGG